RNAcentral lists this ribosomal RNA (510 nucleotides) under uncultured bacterium. Its description in RNAcentral is "bacterial SSU rRNA". It matches the Rfam family "Bacterial small subunit ribosomal RNA", at positions 8 to 518 of the family's 1533-position model. The record is from RNAcentral.
AGAGUUUGAUUCUGGCUCAGGAUGAACGCUGGCGGCGUGCCUAACACAUGCAAGUCGAACGGAAACCAGACGCUUCGGAGACUUCGGUCAAUGUUGUUGGUUUAGUGGCGGACGGGUGAGUAACGCGUGGAUAACCUGCCAUAUACAGGGGGAUAACAGUUAGAAAUGACUGCUAAUACCGCAUAAGCGCACAGUCUCGCAUGGGACAGUGUGAAAAAACUCCGGUGGUAUAUGAUGGAUCCGCGUCUGAUUAGCCAGUUGGCGGGUAACGGCCCACCAAAGCGACGAUCAGUAGCCGGCCUGAGAGGGUGAACGGCCACAUUGGGACUGAGACACGGCCCAAACUCCUACGGGAGGCAGCAGUGGGGGAUAUUGCACAAUGGGGGAAACCCUGAUGCAAGCGACGCCGCGUGAGUGAAGAAGUAUUUCGGUAUGUAAAGCUCUAUCAGCAGGGAAGAUAAUGACGGUACCUGACUAAGAAGCACCGGCUAAAUACGUGCCAGCCGCCGC